UACGUAGGGCGCAAGCGUUGUCCGGAAUUAUUGGGCGUAAAGAGCUCGUAGGCGGUCUGUCACGUCUGCCGUGAAAACCCGAGGCUUAACCUCGUGGCUUGCGGUGGAUACGGGCAGACUAGAGGUAGGUAGGGGAGAACGGAAUUCCCGGUGUAGCGGUGAAAUGCGCAGAUAUCGGGAGGAACACCGGUGGCGAAGGCGGUUCUCUGGGACUUACCUGACGCUGAGGAGCGAAAGCAUGGGGAGCGAACAGG
Molecule: ribosomal RNA, 254 nt
Filed under: uncultured bacterium
Lineage: Bacteria
Description: partial 16S ribosomal RNA
Rfam family: Bacterial small subunit ribosomal RNA
Source: RNAcentral